RNAcentral lists this ribosomal RNA (904 nucleotides) under Capnodium coartatum. RNAcentral's name for it is "partial large subunit ribosomal RNA". It matches the Rfam family "Eukaryotic large subunit ribosomal RNA", at positions 35 to 963 of the family's 3401-position model. Lineage: Eukaryota; Fungi; Ascomycota; Dothideomycetes; Capnodiales; Capnodiaceae. The record is from RNAcentral.
UAAGCAUAUCAAUAAGCGGAGGAAAAGAAACCAACAGGGAUUGCCCUAGUAACGGCGAGUGAAGCGGCAAUAGCUCAGAUUUGAAAUCUGGCGUCUUCGGCGUCCGAGUUGUAAUCUGUAGAGGAUGCCUUUGGGUAGCCACCGGUCUAAGUCCCCUGGAACGGGGCGUCACAGAGGGUGAGAAUCCCGUAUGUGACCGGAAGGGCACCCUCCACAAGGCUCCUUCGACGAGUCGAGUUGUUUGGGAAUGCAGCUCUAAAUGGGAGGUAAAUUCCUUCUAAAGCUAAAUACCGGCCAGAGACCGAUAGCGCACAAGUAGAGUGAUCGAAAGAUGAAAAGCACUUUGGAAAGAGAGUUAAAAAGCACGUGAAAUUGUUGAAAGGGAAGCGCUUGCAACCAGACUUGUUGGCGGUGUUCCGCCGGUCUUCUGACCGGUCCACUCACCGUCUGCAGGCCAGCAUCAUCUGGGGCCGCCGGAUAAAAGCGAGGGGAACGUAGCUCCCCCGGGAGUGUUAUAGCCCCUCGUGCAAUACGGCGAGCCUCGGGUGAGGUCCGCGCUUCGGCUAGGAUGCUGGCGUAAUGGUCGUAAGCGGCCCGUCUUGAAACACGGACCAAGGAGUCUAACAUCUAUGCGAGUGUUCGGGUGUCAAACCCCUACGCGUAAUGAAAGUGAACGGAGGUGGGAGCCUUAGGGUGCACCAUCGACCGAUCCUGAUGUCUUCGGAUGGAUUUGAGUAAGAGCAUAGCUGUUGGGACCCGAAAGAUGGUGAACUAUGCCUGGAUAGGGUGAAGCCAGAGGAAACUCUGGUGGAGGCUCGCAGCGGUUCUGACGUGCAAAUCGAUCGUCAAAUUUGGGUAUAGGGGCGAAAGACUAAUCGAACCAUCUAGUAGCUGGUUCCUGCCG